CGCCGCGUGAGGGACGAAGGCCUUCGGGUUGUAAACCUCUUUUAGCAGGGAAGAAGCGCAAGUGACGGUACCUGCAGAAAAAGCACCGGCUAACUACGUGCCAGCAGCCGCGGUAAUACGUAGCGUGCAAGCGUUGUCCGGAAUUAUUGGGCGUAAAGAGCUCGUAGGCGGUUUGUCGCGUCUGCUGUGAAAAUCCGAGGCUCAACCUCGGACCUGCAGUGGGUACGGGCAAACUAGAGUGCGGUAGGGGAGAUUGGAAUUCCUGGUGUAGCGGUGGAAUGCGCAGAUAUCAGGAGGAACACCAAUGGCGAAGGCAGAUCUCUGGGCCGUAACUGACGCUGAGGAGCGAAAGCGUGGGGAGCGAACAGGAUUAGAUACCCUGGUAGUCCACGCCGUAAACGGUGGGAACUAGAUGUGGGGUCCGUUCCACGGAUUCCGUGUCGCAGCUAACGCAUUAAGUUCCCCGCCUGGGGAGUACGGCCGCAAGGCUAAAACUCAAAGGAAUUGACGGGGGCCCGCACAAGCGGCGGAGCAUGCGGAUUAAUUCGAUGCAACGCGAAGAACCUUACCAAGGCUUGACAUAUAGAGGAAAGGUGCAGAAAUGUACCCCCCGCAAGGUCUCUAUACAGGUGGUGCAUGGUUGUCGUCAGCUCGUGUCGUGAGAUGUUGGG
RNAcentral lists this ribosomal RNA (671 nucleotides) under uncultured Actinomycetes bacterium. RNAcentral describes it as "bacterial SSU rRNA". It matches the Rfam family "Bacterial small subunit ribosomal RNA", at positions 395 to 1079 of the family's 1533-position model. Lineage: Bacteria; Bacillati; Actinomycetota; Actinomycetes. The record is from RNAcentral.